This 318-nucleotide unclassified non-coding RNA is filed under the name Hevea brasiliensis (rubber tree). Lineage: Eukaryota; Viridiplantae; Streptophyta; Magnoliopsida; Malpighiales; Euphorbiaceae. The record is from RNAcentral.
AUAAAGCCAAAAUAGGGAGCAAUAAUUCUGUUGACAAGCAUCCCAUAUACAACCACACACUUACCAUCAUUAUAUAGUCAAAUCUUUUUGUUUGAAUAUAUUUAGCAAGAGCAAGAAGAUAGUUUCUUCAUCUCACUAACUUCAAAAUCAGGACCAGAAAUAACAUCAAUUUUCAAUCCUUUAAGCAAUCCAUUACUAGUCAAAUCUUUUUGUUUGAAUAUAUUUAGCAAGAGCAAGAAGAUAGUUUCUUCAUCUCACUAACUUCAAAAUCAGGACCAGAAAUAACAUCAAUUUUCAAUCCUUUAAGCAAUCCAUUAC